This 468-nucleotide ribosomal RNA is filed under the name uncultured bacterium. RNAcentral describes it as "partial 16S ribosomal RNA". It matches the Rfam family "Bacterial small subunit ribosomal RNA", at positions 28 to 507 of the family's 1533-position model. The record is from RNAcentral.
GACGAACGCUGGCGGCGUGCUUAACACAUGCAAGUCGAACGGAAAGGCCCUGCUUUUGUGGGGUGCUCGAGUGGCGAACGGGUGAGUAACACGUGAGUAACCUGCCCUUGACUUUGGGAUAACUUCAGGAAACUGGGGCUAAUACCGGAUAGGAGCUCCUGCUGCAUGGUGGGGGUUGGAAAGUUUCGGCGGUUGGGGAUGGACUCGCGGCUUAUCAGCUUGUUGGUGGGGUAGUGGCUUACCAAGGCUUUGACGGGUAGCCGGCCUGAGAGGGUGACCGGCCACAUUGGGACUGAGAUACGGCCCAGACUCCUACGGGAGGCAGCAGUGGGGAAUAUUGCACAAUGGGCGGAAGCCUGAUGCAGCAACGCCGCGUGCGGGAUGAAGGCCUUCGGGUUGUAAACCGCUUUCGCCUGUGACGAAGCGUGAGUGGCGGUAAUGGGUAAAGAAGCACCGGCUAACUACGUG